UUAAAGUAAAACAUUUAAGUAAGUACUAGCUUUUCUGGUGCCCACAUAGGGCAACAACACUCACCUAAGAUGCCUAUGAGUGACUGAAGGUGAGAAAACACCGGGGUACACUGUGGAAAUCUGAGAUGUGGAAGAAAUCAAGCUGUCACAGACGUCCCAGCUAGUCUACUGCACUCCAUGAUUAAAACUCUUACAUGUCUCUCAUGCAGCAUUUGAUCCAAGGCUGAAAAUUGAUCAUGAACUGAUUAGUUAAGAGAAGGAGAGGGGGCCAGACUCCAACAAAAGUCAGAUUUUGGUUGAAGUCAGAGAGAGGUUGUGAGAUUGCCAUCCCUUGACAUCUUUUUAAAAAAUGAAUUGUUUAAUCACCUUUUUUUUUAAGCUGAUUUCUUAGCCAUCUUGCAGAAAUAUGAGGCAGGGGCACUUAUCCAUUAGGUGCAGUAGGUAAGGUACCUAAGCCCAAUGACACCCUUAGCAGCCCAUGAAAAUGGUUUAGUUUCUUUCAUAAAAUGGUGCUGAAGAUAAUGAUAGUUGCAAAGGAAAAAAUACGGUAGACCAAUAUCAUAGUAUGAUACCAAGCAUAGGGCCUAUUAUUGGAAGCUAUUUCCAGUGCUCAGGAUAUUAACAUCUCCUGGAGUGUCUGCAAAACACAUCUUGAAGGGAGAACCAUAGUCCUCAAUUUGGCCUGCCUCUUUUAUUUGACAAUAAAGUUUUAUUUAUUUCUGAGCAUAAGAUUGGGAUUUUAUUUCUAGAAAAAGGGAGAAAAGGUGGAAGGAGGAGGAGGCAGGGAAAAGGUGGAAACUUGCCCAGGCCCAUAGCAGGAGCCCAACACAGGGAACACUUAAGCUUGUGUAGAGUACUUGUAACCAGAAGCCCGGAGGUGGAGCACAGCAGAGGAUGCAAUGUGCCACUGUCGCGGCCAGAGCCCAUGCAGUGUAAACAUUAACAUUCUUGGAUGCACUAAGCACUGGGCUGCGGUCUACACUUGCAUUCUGAGGUGGUGGAGUCAUGGCCAAAAUUUUGGAGUACUUGGACUUUUCUCAAGAAGCGUUGCACUUCUUGUCCGGACCGGGGAUUACCGCAGAUCGCAGCCCAGAGUCUGCGGAGGCGCACCGUUUCAUCAACAGCAGGGACUGAAACCAGCCCAGGAGAAGGCAAGAUGGCACCGUUAUCGCACCCUGGGAAUCGAGGACCGGGAAGAACUUAUUGGUCAGUGCCUGGAUGGUGACAGGUGCUCCAGUGAACUCAGGCAAACUACCUUUUCCUGCGACAGCCGAUUAUCUUUGUGCAGCUUUCAGUUUGCGGCCCCUAACCUCCUCCAGCCCAUAAACUCAGGCCUCCAGUGUUCUGAUCUUUCUCUUUGCCUUUCCGCCUUUCCAGAUGCGAUUCCUCCCGUGAUCUCAGUGAUUGUAUCAGGCGAAAACGAGGAGGGCAAAAUACCGUCCAAAUGUAAACAAGGAGCAGCCGCACCAGCAGCACCAGCAGAAUGCCGCGGUAGUGCGGCAGGCCCUGGCCCCAUGGACAAAGAGAAACUCGUCAGUGGCAGUGGCCACGAACUCAGAAAGCCUGAGGACAGUCAGCAGCUCCUCUGGCUCUUCACUUUCACACUGGUGCAACUACAGGAGCUGAAGAACAUUUUUCAACUCGUUCCAUACCCGGACGUGUUAGGAUCAGAUUCAUCAUUGGACUCCUGGACCUAUCACUGCGGACCUCAAAUGUGCACCUUUUAAGCCCUUUCCUUCACUCCUGACUGAUUGAUUUGGGAUCCACUGCUAAGUCAGACUUUUGAACCAUUGUUCCAGGCAAACUUCUGUUAAAGCUGGUAAGGAUUGAUUUGAUUCUUAAGAUUCUGAGUAUACUCUCUGAAGCAGGUUAGAGUUCCAGGCUUGUUUUGAAAGGUAUCUCCUAGGCUGGAUGGUUUCCUUCCUGGAUCUCUGUCUUGAGUGGGGAUUAUUCUCUGGCUCCCUGGGCUGAAAGCUUUUCUUUCUGGCUUUCUAUUUUGAGUGGGAAUUAUUCAUUGAUUCUUUGGGCUGGAAAAUUUUUUUUUUGAGACAGGGUCUUCCUUUGUUGCCCAGGCUGGAGCGCAGUGGUGUGAUCAUGGCUCACUGCAGCCUCAACCUCCCAGGCUCAAGCAAUCCUCCCGCCUCAGCACCCCUGAGUAGCUGGGAGUACAGGCACACGCCACUGUGCCCGGCUAAUUUUAAUUUUAAUUUUUUUUUUUUUUUGUAGAGACAGAGUCUCACUAUGUUGCCCAGGCUGGAAAUUUUUUUCCUUGUUACUUUGUGAGGCCUCUCUGUUCUAUUUGAUCCUGUUUUUCCCACAGGAACUUCUGAGUCAACUGAAACACCAUUCUUGAAUUC
This is a long non-coding RNA of Pan troglodytes (chimpanzee), 2357 nucleotides long. The record is from Ensembl. NCBI's taxonomy places the organism in Eukaryota, Metazoa, Chordata, Mammalia, Primates, Hominidae.